This 332-nucleotide unclassified non-coding RNA is filed under the name uncultured fungus. RNAcentral describes it as "partial contains small subunit ribosomal RNA, internal transcribed spacer 1, and 5.8S ribosomal RNA". The stretch from base 1 to 135 matches the Rfam family "Eukaryotic small subunit ribosomal RNA", at positions 1759 to 1831 of the family's 1831-position model. The record is from RNAcentral. Lineage: Eukaryota; Fungi.
GCAAACUUGGUCAUUUAGAGGAAGUAAAAGUCGUAACAAGGUCUCCGUAGGUAAGUGAAACCGCCUCGACCCCCGCCCGCCCCGCGGACGCAACGCUAACUCUGUCUUCCAGGUGAACCUGCGGAGGGAUCAUUACCGAGCAAGGGCCGAGAGGCCCGAACUCCCACCCCAUGUGGUCGCAUCAGACGAUCUCGUGCCUCGGGGGCGACCCGCCCGCGGGCCCCCCGGCGGACACAGGCGCAACGCUGUAACCAGUAGUCCCGUCGCACAUGAAACAACGCAAAACUUUCAACAAUGGAUCUCUUGGUUCUGGCAUCGAUGAAGAACGCAGC